GAUGAACGCUGGCUACAGGCUUAACACAUGCAAGUCGAGGGGAAACGACGGGGAAGCUUGCUUCCCCGGGCGUCGACCGGCGCACGGGUGAGUAACGCGUAUCCAACCUGCCUCUGACUGAGGGAUAACCCGUCGAAAGUCGGCCUAAUACCUCAUGGCAUCGUCUGCGGGCAUCCAACGACGAUUAAAGAUUUCAUCGGUCAGAGAUGGGGAUGCGUCUGAUUAGCUUGUUGGCGGGGUAACGGCCCACCAAGGCGACGAUCAGUAGGGGUUCUGAGAGGAAGGUCCCCCACAUUGGAACUGAGACACGGUCCAAACUCCUACGGGAGGCAGCAGUGAGGAAUAUUGGUCAAUGGGCGAGAGCCUGAACCAGCCAAGUAGCGUGCAGGAUGACGGCCCUAUGGGUUGUAAACUGCUUUUAUGCGGGGAUAAAGUGAGGGACGUAUCCUUCAUUGCAGGUACCGCAUGAAUAAGGACCGGCUAAUUCCGUG
RNAcentral lists this ribosomal RNA (491 nucleotides) under uncultured bacterium. RNAcentral describes it as "partial 16S ribosomal RNA". It matches the Rfam family "Bacterial small subunit ribosomal RNA", at positions 28 to 507 of the family's 1533-position model. The record is from RNAcentral.